GUAGGUGAACCUGCGGAAGGAUCAUUAUUGAAAUAAACCUGAUGGGUUGUUGCUGGCUCUCUAGGGAGCAUGUGCACACCUUGUCAUCUUUAUAUUUCCACCUGUGCACCUUUUGUAGACCCUCCCAGGUCUAUGUUUGCUUCAUUUACCCCUGAUGUAUGUUAAUAGAAUGUUGUGCCUAUAAAAUAUAUACAACUUUCAGCAACGGAUCUCUUGGCUCUC
RNAcentral lists this unclassified non-coding RNA (222 nucleotides) under rhizosphere metagenome. RNAcentral's name for it is "partial ribosomal RNA internal transcribed spacer region". The record is from RNAcentral.